Molecule: ribosomal RNA, 440 nt
Filed under: uncultured bacterium
Lineage: Bacteria
Description: partial 16S ribosomal RNA
Rfam family: Bacterial small subunit ribosomal RNA
Source: RNAcentral
CCUACGGGUGGCAGCAGUGGGGAAUAUUGCACAAUGGGGGAAACCCUGAUGCAGCGACGCCGCGUGAGUGAAGAAGUCUUUCGGUAUGUAAAGCUCUGUCAGCAGGGAAGAAAAUGACGGUACUUGUCCAAGAAGCCCCGGCUAAAUACGUGCCAGCAGCCGCGGUAAUACGUAGGGGGCAAGCGUUAUCCGGAUUUACUGGGUGUAAAGGGAGCGUAGACGGUAGGGAAAGUCUGGAGUGAAAGGCGGGGGCUCAACCCCCGGACUGCUCUGGAAACUGCCAGGCUGGAGUGCAGGAGAGGUAAGUGGAAUUCCUGGUGUAGCGGUGAAAUGCGUAGAUAUUAGGAGGAACACCAGUGGCGAAGGCGGCUUACUGGACUGUAACUGACGUUGAGGCUCGAAAGCGUGGGGAGCAAACAGGAUUAGAUACCCCUGUAGUC